AUUAAAAACCGAUGCCCUCUGGGCUUACAGGUGAUUCAUGAUAACUUCUCGAAUCGCAUGGCCUUGCGCCGGCGAUGGUUCAUUCAAAUCUCUUCCCUAUCAACUUUCGAUGCGAAGGUCUUGUCUUCGCAUGGUUACAACGGGUAACGGAGGGUUAGGGCUCGAUCCCGGAGAAGGAGCCUGAGAAACGGCUACUACAUCCAAGGAAGGCAGCAGGCGCGCAAAUUACCCAAUCCCGACACGGGGAGGUAGUGACAAAAAAUACUGAUACAGGGCUCUUUUGGGUCUUGUAAUUGGAAUGAGCACAAUUUAAAUCCCUUAACGAGGAACAAUUGGAGGGCAAGUCUGGUGCCAGCAGCCGCGGUAAUUCCAGCUCCAAUAGCGUAUAUUAAAGUUGUUGUGGUUAAAAAGCUCGUAGUUGAACCUUGGGCCUGGCUGGCCGGUCCCCCUCACCGGGUGCACUGAUCCAGCCGGGUCUUUCCCUCUAUGGAACCCCAUGGCCUUCACUGGUCGUGGC
Molecule: ribosomal RNA, 517 nt
Filed under: uncultured fungus
Lineage: Eukaryota; Fungi
Description: SSU rRNA
Rfam family: Eukaryotic small subunit ribosomal RNA
Source: RNAcentral